Molecule: ribosomal RNA, 253 nt
Filed under: uncultured bacterium
Lineage: Bacteria
Description: partial 16S ribosomal RNA
Rfam family: Bacterial small subunit ribosomal RNA
Source: RNAcentral
UACGAAGGGGGCUAGCGUUGUUCGGAAUCACUGGGCGUAAAGCGCACGUAGGCGGCGCGUUAAGUCAGGGGUGAAAUCCUGGAGCUCAACUCCAGAACUGCCUUUGAUACUGGCGUGCUCGAGUGUGGGAGAGGUUGGUGGAACUCCGAGUGUAGAGGUGAAAUUCGUAGAGAUUCGGAAGAACACCAGUGGCGAAGGCGGCCAACUGGCCCAUUACUGACGAUGAGGUGCGAAAGAGUGGGGAGCAAACAGG